GCACAAUUAUAAAAACUUUGUCACUGGAAAAAAAAACCAGAAAAAACAUCCCCAAACUGACAACACCCAUAAGAUGAAUAAAUGUUUGGUGCUUCAGUUAACCAAACAUUUUGAAUGGACCUUUUAGUAUGAGUACCUUUUUAACUUGCUUGUCUUGGGUCUUUUUCUUUUUUCUUUUGGCCACGGUGCUGUCAGUUUAUUUUCAACUAAUGAGUUUGAAUGAGGCUUUGGCUUUGGUAUAUUUGCCUCUCUUUUAUAAGAAAAUAUCAAAUAUAUUAUUUACCCGUUCAAUAAUUUCUUAAUCCAAUAAUUAAAUUCAAUAAAACAUUUCUUUAAAUAUUGAACUGUUUCCAUAGUUUGGAAUUAAUUAGCAAACUUUUUUUAAGAAUCCUAAUGAUCAUUU
RNAcentral lists this long non-coding RNA (403 nucleotides) under Mytilus galloprovincialis (Mediterranean mussel). Lineage: Eukaryota; Metazoa; Mollusca; Bivalvia; Mytilida; Mytilidae. The record is from RNAcentral.